RNAcentral lists this ribosomal RNA (468 nucleotides) under uncultured bacterium. Its description in RNAcentral is "partial 16S ribosomal RNA". It matches the Rfam family "Bacterial small subunit ribosomal RNA", at positions 28 to 507 of the family's 1533-position model. The record is from RNAcentral.
GACGAACGCUGGCGGCGUGCUUAACACAUGCAAGUCGAACGGAAAGGCCCUGCUUUUGUGGGGUGCUCGAGUGGCGAACGGGUGAGUAACACGUGAGUAACCUGCCCUUGCCUUUGGGAUACCUUCAGGAAACUGGGGCUAAUCCCGGAUAGGAGCUCCUGCUCCUUGGUGGGGGUGGGAAAGUUUCGGCGGUUGGGGAUGGACUCGCGGCUUUUCAGCUUGUUGGUGGGGUAGUGGCUUACCAAGGCUUUGACGGGUAGCCGGCCUGAGAGGGUGACCGGCCACAUUGGGACUGAGAUACGGCCCAGACUCCUACGGGAGGCAGCAGUGGGGAAUAUUGCACAAUGGGCGGAAGCCUGAUGCAGCAACGCCGCGUGCGGGAUGACGGCCUUCGGGUUGUAAACCGCUUUCGCCUGUGACGAAGCGUGAGUGACGGUAAUGGGUAAAGAAGCACCGGCUAACUACGUG